RNAcentral lists this long non-coding RNA (1565 nucleotides) under Homo sapiens (human). RNAcentral's name for it is "non-protein coding LINC01020:8". The record is from RNAcentral. Lineage: Eukaryota; Metazoa; Chordata; Mammalia; Primates; Hominidae.
AUGACCUGCAGUGACCUGCUGCUACCAGAACUGACUCGCUUCAAAGUGACGGAUGAAACCCAUAUGGAGAUAUUCCUGGGGUGGGUAGGCCAGUUGGAAGACAGAGUGUUUACACCUGAGAGAGGACUUGAGAAUUUUACUCAGUCACGUUGCUCACUGCUGCGCACUCCUGCAGACGCAUCCCAGUGGACUCUGCGCUGCAUCCCCAGAGUACAGCGAGUUUCCCGCCUCCCGUUAGAGAUCCAACACAUAUUUUUUUUGAAAGAAGAAACUGAUGGAAGACAGGAAGCAAAAAGGAGAGGAAGGAAAGGGAUAGGAAGGAGGGGAAGGAAAGGGAAAGGAAGGAAAAGAAAGGAAAGUGAACUUGAAAUCCUACAAGGUCUCAAAGUCAAAAAACAUGAUUGCUGUUUUAGAGAAUUGAAGAUCCUUCAUCUUCAAGAAUCUGAAAUCUACCAUGAUCUUCACAUGUAGCCAAACACAAUGGGAUGUAGUCAUUUAAGAGUGCUGUGAAGGCAGUGAAAAGCAGUUGAAAUACCAUUAGUUAACAGAUUGCCCAAUGAAGUCGAUGACAACUGUGAUAACAAGUUACUCACUAUCACAGCGUCUCCAAGAGAUGAACAGUGGAUGAUGCUUCCAAAGCACAGAUGUCCCUCUCCUCCUCAACCUUCUCUCCCCAGAAAGAUGUCAACACUGUGGAGAUUGUGCUAUGAAGAUACCUGCACCCAGUUCCGGAUUUCACACCAAGCCUUUGCUGAGGAUAUGAGAGUAAUAAAAAGGGGAGCCCUGGUUCUUCCUCUCCUUUAGUGUCUUUCCUGGAAGUGGACUGCGAGAAGAGCUUCUUCAGCCACCUUCUGCCUGCAGACAACCUCCAUGAGUUUGCUUUAGAAGAAGGCUUCAAUUUGAAGAAAGUCAAAUAAAACAAGGUCAUUGUGUUUGCAAUUGAUCCUUGGAGACAGCGACAUCUGCGAAGCUUCCAAGCCACGGUGGUUCCACCUUCACAAGUAUCCUUCAAAGGCAUCCUGCAACCACCCCAUCCAUCCAAGUACUCCGUUGUAGGAUUCAAAAGCAAAUUGCAGGGUUUGCUGCCUGGCAGAGAAGCAUAGACACAAAGCAUGAGAGAGCAAAACCUAUGAGUUGACCAUAUCAUAAACACAAAUAGAUAUAUGCAGAAUACCAGCUAAAAAAUAGGCAAUAAACUUAAACAAUAGGACUAUGAGUAGACAUAGCAAGUGCUGGGUAGAGAUGACAGUUUUGUGUCCUGUUAGAGCUAAGUCAGAAAUCUGGGUCGAAGUGAAUGUGAGGGAGGAAAAGGCCAUUACAAUAUUUAAGAAGCAGCUCCAAUAUUUUUAAAACGUGAAGGAAAACUUGCAAGCAAUCUCUAGGGCUGGAGGGAGAGAAAUGCAAAGCCCUCUCAGCCUGCUCCACCAUUAUCUUUUGCAUUCCAAUAACUGACAUGCUGCUGAAUGUUAUGACUAUUUGUUUAUUGUUGACUGUUCUUGGCACUGCUCAGUGUAGCCAAAGAUUCCUUGCCUACAAGAAAGUCUUGCUCAGACAAUAAACCACGG